This 468-nucleotide ribosomal RNA is filed under the name uncultured bacterium. RNAcentral's name for it is "partial 16S ribosomal RNA". It matches the Rfam family "Bacterial small subunit ribosomal RNA", at positions 28 to 507 of the family's 1533-position model. The record is from RNAcentral.
GACGAACGCUGGCGGCGUGCUUAACACAUGCAAGUCGAACGGAAAGGCCCUGCUUUUGUGGGGUGCUCGAGUGGCGAACGGGUGAGUAACACGUGAGUAACCUGCCCUUGACUUUGGGAUAACUUCAGGAAACUGGGGCUAAUACCGGAUAGGAGCUCCUGCUGCAUGGUGGGGGUUGGAAAGUUUCGGCGGUUGGGGAUGGACUCGCGGCUUAUCAGCUUGUUGGUGGGGUAGUGGCUUACCAAGGCUUUGACGGGUAGCCGGCCUGAGAGGGUGACCGGCCACAUUGGGACUGAGAGACGGCCGAGACUGCUACGGGAGGCAGCAGUGGGGAAUAGUGCGCAAUGGGCGGAAGCCUGAUGCAGCAACGCCGCGUGCGGGAUGACGGCCGUCGGGUUGUAAACCGAUUGCGCCUGUGACGAAGCGUGAGUGACGGUAAUGGGUAAAGAAGCACAGGCUAACUACGUG